RNAcentral lists this transfer RNA (56 nucleotides) under Ascaris lumbricoides (common roundworm). RNAcentral describes it as "tRNA-Leu". Lineage: Eukaryota; Metazoa; Nematoda; Chromadorea; Rhabditida; Ascarididae. The record is from RNAcentral.
GUAUAUAUAGUAUAAGAAAUAUAAUAGAUUUAGGUUCUAUAGCUGGUUUGUAUACU